AGUUGCCAUCAUUAAGUUGGGCACUCUGUGGAGACUGCCAGUGUCAAACCGGAGGAAGGUGGGGAUGACGUCAAGUCCUCAUGGCCCUUAUGACCAGGGCUACACACGUGCUACAAUGGCCGGUACAAAGAGUUGCGAUACCGCGAGGUGGAGCUAAUCUCAUAAAGCCGGUCUCAGUUCGGAUUGGAGUCUGCAACUCGACUCCAUGAAGUUGGAAUCGCUAGUAAUCGCGGAUCAGCACGCCGCGGUCGAAUACGUUCCCGGGCCUU
Molecule: ribosomal RNA, 269 nt
Filed under: uncultured Geobacter sp.
Lineage: Bacteria; Pseudomonadati; Thermodesulfobacteriota; Desulfuromonadia; Geobacterales; Geobacteraceae
Description: partial 16S ribosomal RNA
Rfam family: Bacterial small subunit ribosomal RNA
Source: RNAcentral